RNAcentral lists this ribosomal RNA (1210 nucleotides) under uncultured organism. Its description in RNAcentral is "bacterial SSU rRNA". It matches the Rfam family "Bacterial small subunit ribosomal RNA", at positions 137 to 1354 of the family's 1533-position model. The record is from RNAcentral.
CGGGGGACAACACUGGGAAACCGGUGCUAAUACCCCAUAUGUCCUUCGGGAUGAAAGCUCUGGCGCCUUGAGAUGGGCCUGCGGCUGAUUAGCUAGUUGGUGGGGUAAAUGCCUACCAAGGCGACGAUCAGUAGCUGGUUUGAGAGGAUGAUCAGCCACAAUGGAACUGAGACACGGUCCAUACUCCUACGGGAGGCAGCAGUAGGGAAUUUUGCCGCAAUGGGCGAAAGCCUUGACGCAGCAAACACCGCGUGAGUGAUUGAAGCUUUUCGGAGUGUAAAACUCUGUCAGUUGGGGACGAAAAAUUGACGGUCCCCACAAAGGAAGCACCGGCUAACUCCGUGCCAGCAGCCGCGGUAAGACGGAGGGUGCAAGCGUUGUCCGGAAUUAUUGGGCGUAAAGCGUACGUAGGCGGCAUGUCAAGUCUGAUGUAAAAGCCCGGAGCUCAACUCCGGUUAGGCAUUGGAUACUGGCAAGCUAAGAGUACAGAAGAGGCAAGGGGAAUUCCUAGUGUAGCGGUGAAAUGCGUAGAUAUUAGGAGGAACACCGGUGGCGUAAGCGCCUUGUUGGUCUGUAACCUGACGCUGAGGAACGAAGGCCAGGGUAGCAAAUGGGUUAGAUACCCCAGUAAGUCUGGCCGUAAACCGAUGGAUAACUAGGUGUUGCAGGUAUCGACCCCUGCAGUGCUGCAGUUAACGCAAUAGGUAUCCCGGCUGGGGAGUACGCACGCGAGUUUGAACUCCAGAGGAAUUGACGCGGAUCCGGCACAAGCCGGUGGCCCUUGUGGUGUAAUUCGAGGCACGCGAAGAACCUUACCAGGGCUUGAAUUCCUGAGAACCUUGCCAGAGAUGGAUUGGUGCCCUUCGGGGGAACUCAGUGACAGGUGGUGCACGGUUGUCGUCAGCUCGUGUCGUGAGAUGUUUGGGUUAAGUCCCGCAAACGAGCGCAACCCACGUUGUUAGUUGCCUGUAAGAACCUGUUCUUGCAGUGCUCUCUUAGCGAGACUGCCGGUGAUAAACCGGAGGAAGGUGUGGACGACGUCAAAUCAUCAUGCCCCUUAUGUCCUGGGCUACACACGUGUUACAAUGGGUGGGACAACGAGCAGCCAAUCAGCGAUGAUGAGCAAAUCUCUUAGACCUACUCUCAGUUCGGAUCGUAGUCUGCAACUCGACUACGUGAAGUCGGAAUCGCUAGUAACCGUAGAUCAGCA